RNAcentral lists this transfer RNA (88 nucleotides) under Actinomycetes bacterium. RNAcentral describes it as "tRNA-Ser". It matches the Rfam family "tRNA". From Rfam's summary of the family: Transfer RNA (tRNA) molecules are approximately 80 nucleotides in length. Their secondary structure includes four short double-helical elements and three loops (D, anti-codon, and T loops). Lineage: Bacteria; Bacillati; Actinomycetota; Actinomycetes. RNAcentral also lists the same sequence under 7 other names. The record is from RNAcentral.
GGAAGGGUGCCCGAGCGGCCAAAGGGACACGCCUCGAAAGCGUGCGAGGUGCAAGCCUCCGUGGGUUCAAAUCCCACCCCUUCCGCCA